UCAUCUCUGAAAGUCCUGGAAAUAAUCAUUUUGACCUGCUUCAUACCAUGCUGGAAAUUCUAGUUAGGACUCAUUGCUUAAUUUGCAUUUGUUGAGGCUAAGUUUGUGUGAAUUUCUGAUUUUAGUCAUGUUUUCAUCUCCUUUCUUGCUUUUAAGCUUUAUUGAGUUUUUGUAAUUGGGUCACUUCUAUAAGUCUUGCACUAGUUGAUUAGUGCCCUCUCCUGGUCGAUUUCAUCCAUUUGUUUUGACAUAAAGAUGC
This 259-nucleotide long non-coding RNA is filed under the name Nicotiana benthamiana. RNAcentral describes it as "long non-coding RNA (NBEN_LNC019263)". The record is from RNAcentral. Lineage: Eukaryota; Viridiplantae; Streptophyta; Magnoliopsida; Solanales; Solanaceae.